Musa acuminata AAA Group (dessert banana) is the source of this 2394-nucleotide long non-coding RNA. RefSeq lists it as uncharacterized. The transcript has 2 exons. Lineage: Eukaryota; Viridiplantae; Streptophyta; Magnoliopsida; Zingiberales; Musaceae. The record is from RefSeq and is a predicted model, not a curated record.
CAGUGAUAUCCACCUGCAUGUUCCAGAUGAUGUAACACACCAUGGGAUGCACAACCAUCAAGGAUUGGCAGUAGAAUUUAUUGAAGAGGACAAGUACCUGAAUGCUGUGAUUGCUGAUAGUUGCAGAGAAAGAAGAGCAGAUCCAGCCGGUUGCUGCUGCUGAUGAUGAUGCUGAUGAUGAUGAAGAAGAUGGAACUGCCCACUUCCACCAGCACCAACUCCUCCCCUUCCCUGACCCAUCUGCAGAUAGAAUUGGCCCAAGGCCUGAGGAUUCAACGCCCCGAUAUGCCCCUCCUGCGAGAGGCCGAGCUCCAGCCCUGGCAGCUGCUGGCCAUGCCCGCUCAACAUCGACGCAAAGCUCACCGCUCCCGGAUUCCCGCCGGUCAAUUCGAACCCAUGCAAGCCGAUCCUCUGCAUGAAGCUGCUCACCGAGUCUCCGCCUCCGGCCGAAAGAUUCGAGCUCGAGGGAACGGCGGCGGUGGCAUGCAAGAAUCCGGAGUUGAACCCACCCACCAGGGGCGGCCACAGGCCAGGAUGGGAGCAUCCGAGGUUAGCGGCCCCCGUCACGGCCCAGCCAGGCCUGGCGGCGGCUCCCGCCUCCUGUCCCAACUCGUCGAGCUUCUGGUGGAGGCCGGCGGGGGCGGUGGCGCCCGGGAGGGACAUGGAUGCGGCGGCGGCGGCGGCAGCGAGAGCUGACGCGGGGAUGGUGCCCGUGCCGGUGGCGGCGAUGAUGGAGGGCUCCGCUUGAUGGAGGAGCCACUGGAUGGUCUCCCCAUCGGACUUGUGGCCCAAUUCUCGGGUGAGCUGAAAGAUCCUGGCGGCACAAAGGGCAGGCAUCCUUAUCCUCCUUCCCCUGCCGUCGACCUUGGUGUGCCUGUCCUUGUUGGAGCUCCUCUUGGGUGCAAGCUGCCUCCUUUGCUCAUCCUUAGCCGCUGCGGAAAGCAAAAGGUCUCUGCUUUCUGCUGCUGCUGCUGCUGCGGCCGAUGAGGAGGUGAUGGGUUCUCUUUUGUCCGACUGCGGAAGGCCCUCCUGGUGAAGCUUGGAGGAGCCCUUGGGAUCCAUGAAAGGGAGGUGGGAGAAGAAGGAAAGGUGGAAUUUUGGGGCCUUGAAUGGUGAGAUGGAGGAGAGAGAGGAGAGGUAACAAGUGAGGAACUAUGCUCCCAUGAGACCUCAGAAGGAUUCUGCCACUGACUGGCGAAUCAGUCUGCGGUUGAAACUUGAAAUAGCUUUUGGAACUGAAGAAAGGAGAGAGAAGAGAGAGAGAGAGAGAGAGAGAAAGAGCGUUGGGUCAACAGCAUAAAGAAGAAGAUGGCAGGUGAAAACCAAGAUACCUACUUCCCCAAAUGUUCUACAUGAUGCAAGGGGUGGUGAAAAUGGAGAAGAGAGCAGGUGUGGUAAAAGAAAGACCAAGAUAUCAUUGGUCUUCGUUGAUGCUGGCAAGUGAAAGAAAGGUUUUACUUCUGCUUCGGUCUUUAUGGUUUUUUUUCCUUGCAAAGUUUCCCCCUCCUGUGCAGGUCUAUGUUCCUUGCCAUGCUGGGUCUUGCGGGAGCUGUCAAGGCUACCCUGUGACUGCCCCUGAGAAGAGACCAUUGUCAAAUCACCUUCCCUACACUAUAUGGAUUGGAUUCCCAUCUCAUCAUUGCUGCUCCCAUGGUUACCUCCGUUCACCAAUUGUGGGUUAUGAUUGCUUUCAGCAUUCCAGCUGCAUCACUUGCAAGGGACUCCAUUUCAAAGAUUGCGCUCGAGUGACCUCAUGGCACUACACAAGUGGCUGCUAGGAUAAGUUGGUCCCCAUUGACAGGGCCAUUCUUCCACUUACUUAUAUGCUGACUGACACUGUGUGUGAAAUGAGAGCACACAGAGAGAGAGAGAGAGAGAGCAGAAUUGGAACUGACAGGGGGAAAGGGGGAACUGAAGCCAACAACCAACAUGACAGAAAUGUUGCAAUAGUUCAGCGUUGUUGCUCCUGCCUCAAGUGGCACUGUUGUUGGAAGGUUUCUGACAGUUCUCGGCCUGCUGAGCUGCUGUGGUUGCUUUUUUCCUGGCCAUUACAUGCGAGCCUUUGGAGACUCCACUAGAGUUGGUGGAGGGUGGUGGAUUUAGGCUACAGUUUUGUGUUGCAGCAGGUGGUGCAUCAAUGAAUGGGUGCUUCCUUUUUCUUGUUUACAUGACUCCAUGGCUCUCAGUUAUUGUCAGAAGCCAAUUCAAGAAAAUGACACAAAAUACUCUCUCAUCCACUCGUGAGGAAGGUGACCUUUGUUAGAUGUGGACUUGGAUCAUGAUUUUUCUUUUGAGUUUGGAUAUAGAAAAAGGCCAUCCACAUUAAAGAUGUGGAUUCCUUUAACUUAGUAUUAUUCCUUUUUAACUUGUUAUCAAUGUCAUUGUCUUCAUAAA